This 450-nucleotide ribosomal RNA is filed under the name uncultured bacterium. Its description in RNAcentral is "partial 16S ribosomal RNA". It matches the Rfam family "Bacterial small subunit ribosomal RNA", at positions 354 to 796 of the family's 1533-position model. The record is from RNAcentral.
GUGGGGAAUAUUGGACAAUGGGCGAAAGCCUGAUCCAGCCAUGCCGCGUGUGUGAAGAAGGUCUUCGGAUUGUAAAGCACUUUAAGUUGGGAGGAAGGGCAGUAAGUUAAUACCUUGCUGUUUUGACGUUACCGACAGAAUAAGCACCGGCUAACUUCGUGCCAGCAGCCGCGGUAAUACGAAGGGUGCAAGCGUUAAUCGGAAUUACUGGGCGUAAAGCGCGCGUAGGUGGUUCAGCAAGUUGGAGGUGAAAUCCCCGGGCUCAACCUGGGAACUGCCUCCAAAACUGCAUGACUAGAGUACGGUAGAGGGUAGUGGAAUUUCCUGUGUAGCGGUGAAAUGCGUAGAUAUAGGAAGGAACACCAGUGGCGAAGGCGACUACCUGGACUGAUACUGACACUGAGGUGCGAAAGCGUGGGGAGCAAACAGGAUUAGAUACCCCAGUAGUCC